AGUCUGGUGCCAGCAGCCGCGGUAAUUCCAGCUCCAAUAGCGUAUAUUAAAGUUGUUGCAGUUAAAAAGCUCGUAGUUGGAUCUGGGGUUCGGGUCGGCGGUUUGCCGCUUCGGCGGCUACUGCCGUGCUCGACUCUUACUAGCCGGUGCGUCUUGCGGUGCUCUUCAUCGAGUGCCGUAGGAGCCUGGCAUGUUUACUUUGAAAAAAUUAGAGUGCUCAAAGCAGGCGAUUCCGCCUGAAUAGUGUUGCAUGGAAUAAUGGAAUAGGACCUCGGUUCUAUUUUGUUGGUUUUCGGAACUUGAGGUAAUGAUUAAGAGGGACGGUCGGGGGCAUUCGUAUUUCGGUGUUAGAGGUGAAAUUCUUGGAUCGCUGAAAGACGGACAAAUGCGAAAGCAUCUGCCAAGAACGUCUCCAUUAAUCAAGAACGAAAGUCAGAGGUUCGAAGACGAUCAGACACCGUCCUAGUUCUGACCAUAAACGAUGCCAACUAGCGAUCCGCAGUGGUUGCUGUAAACGGACUCUGCGAGCAGCUUCCGGGAAACCAAAGUGUUUGGGUUCCGGGGGAAGUAUGGUUGCAAAGCUGAAACUUAAAGGAAUUGACGGAAGGGCACCACCAGGAGUGGAGCCUGCGGCUUAAUUUGACCCAACACGGGGAAACUCACCCGGUCCGGACACUGUAAGGAUUGACAGAUCGAGAGCUCUUUCUUGAUUCGGUGGAUGGUGGUGCAUGGCCGUUCUUAGUUGGUGGAGUGAUUUGUCUGGUUAAUUCCGAUAACGAACGAGACUCUAGCCUGCUAACUAGUUGCGCCGUGUUCAUACGCGGCUGUAGACUUCUUAGAGGGACAGGUGGCGUUUAGCCACACGAAAUUGAGCAAUAACAGGUCUGUGAUGCCCUUAGAUGUCCGGGGCCGCACGCGCGCUACACUGAAGGAGUCAGCGUGUGCUAUCCGGGCUCGGAAGAGUUCGGUAACCCGUUGAAACUCCUUCGUGCUUGGGAUUGUGGCUUGUAAUUAUCGCGCAUGAACGAGGAAUUCCCAGUAAGUGCAAGUCAUCAGCUUGCGCUGACUACGUCCCUGCCCUUUGUACACACCGCCCGUCGCUACUACCGACUGAAUGGUUUAGCAAGGUACUCGGAUUGGUCUCGAUCUUGUACGAAAGUGCGGGAUCUGUGGCC
RNAcentral lists this ribosomal RNA (1175 nucleotides) under metagenome. RNAcentral describes it as "SSU rRNA". It matches the Rfam family "Eukaryotic small subunit ribosomal RNA", at positions 558 to 1748 of the family's 1831-position model. The record is from RNAcentral.